This 2998-nucleotide long non-coding RNA is filed under the name Gossypium barbadense (sea-island cotton). RNAcentral describes it as "long non-coding RNA (GBAR_LNC010777)". Lineage: Eukaryota; Viridiplantae; Streptophyta; Magnoliopsida; Malvales; Malvaceae. The record is from RNAcentral.
UUGAAGAGGUUUGCUAACACUCAGAGGCUGAACUGGGGGCAAUGGGGUACUUGUAUUGGAAUUGCAGCUUUGUCCUGGCCACUUGGCUGGCUAGUUAAGUGGAUUCCAGCAUGAAAAAAAUCCUCUUCUCGGUCACAAGGCUUUUGCAUCCAAAAGAAAUACCAGUUAGCUCCAAUGAGAUGCUCCUUUUCAUUUAUAUAGAACCUUAGGAAUAUCAGUAUAUAACCUUGGUACUAUUUCUUUUAUUAUUCUAAUGCAGUAUUUUAAUUUCCUUCUGUUCACUAUUUAUCUCGGUUCUAGUUCAUUUUAAGUGUUGAAUUUGUAAGCUUCUAUGUGAACAAUGAAGAUAUGUUGUUUAUGCAUGCAUUAAUUUCACUAUAACAUGUUUAGCACCACUUAAAUCCUCUGCAUGUGCAAAUAAAUUACAUAUGUCGUCAGCUUCUAAUGGAUAACACUGUUGGCAAUGCAGGCUAGGCCUCAGAUUCUACCACUUAAUACUAGACGAUACAACAUUAAGCUCUUUGCUCUUUCUAGGGGAUGUACACAAUAAUGAGAUGACUUCCCUCGUGAUCUAAUAAUCUCUUUUAAGAACAAUCUAAGUCUACCAUAACUUUAUAAUGACCAGUUCACAAGCAUAGACAGUCUGCCAUAUUGUAAUUUCAUAUAAUCAGUACAUAACACAAUCAGUCAAUAGGAAUAUUUAAUUAGAUGUUUCAUCGUUCUACUUAAAAUUUUCUACCUUAAAGAGAAGAAAGCCCUUUUAAAUGAUUUUGCACUCAAAUCAUCAGUAGAAGGUGACUAAUAAAAUUCAACAAGUAGUCAAUUAGAAAGCAAAUUAUCCACAACAACUCAUGGUGUUAGGCAUUUCUAGCAUUGAAAGACAAGAAAGAACUAUAAGAAGCUUAAAAUCAUAGCUUAAAAUCAUCAUCCUCAUACAAACUCUAGCUAUCUCAACAGCAACAUAUGGAACCUCACUCCUAAUGCAUUGAUUGGUUACUAGUGUAAAAACACGAGGAAAAAAACUUAAUUAUUACAUAUGUAUUACAAUAGUUAGCCAUAAAAUAAGGAAUAGGUGGUACAAAUUUAAACAUAAAAUUAGAAAAAUGAGUAAUAACUCUUGAAAAAAUAAGACCUCUUCAAAAUAAACGAACAAUUUUCCUUCUCUUUGCUAAAAGUAAGUCAUGGGACUGACUAAAUAUUACCAAUUGAAUUAGUUUAUUGCCAACACAUAAAUUAAAACAUGUGUAAAAAAUAAUACUCCUAUCAUACAUAGCAUAAGUUUCAUAAAGUGCAUGACCUAUUUAUAAUCAGUGUGAAUGCAUAAUUUCCACUGUUCAUUGGUGCAAGAAUGUCAACAAUGAGAGGCAACUCAUUGAUCAGUCCAUAACAUUUUAAGGCUUCCAUCUCUCACUUGUACUACAUCUUUCCCACACAUCCCAACAUAGCAUAACUUUCAAAGAAUUUGUUGACGUAAAAGAUGCAAUGUAAAUUUGCUACAAUCUAAACAAUAGAGCCAGAAGUUUUAUCAGCCACCUUAUACUCAUGCUCUCUUAAGUGGAAACACAAUCAUUGGUGUCCUAAGUUGUUGGUAUAAUAUAUAUAUAUAUUUGGGGUCCAUUAUUCACACAAAAAAACAAAAACAAAAAAACAAGUUUGGCAAAUUAUCAUCACAUAUUUGCUUCCUCCAAUGUUGCAAAAUUGUGAUAUGACAAUUUCAACUCCAGCCACUAUAUUGGAGCUUGCACAAGUAUACUGUCAUAGUAUGACUCAAGUAUUUUAACACCCCUCAUCAAAAAAGUGCUGCCUACUUCCUACUCCUCAACUAAACUAUUUUCAAUUAAAAAUAACUAGAAACUGCAAGUAACAUACAUAACAGGUCAUCUAAAACGAUCUAGCUUAAUGUCACUAUUUAAGUCUAUGUUUCUUCAACUCUUCAUUUUGCUUGAAGUACUUGUUCCAACACAUAGUCAUACACAGGUACGGGCAUAUGACUACCCACAGACCCUCCAAAAACAUGGAGAAACUUAAAAAAAGAAUUCGGACAAAAUACCCGUAUCUGGUACUCGCACCAAAUUCCAGUAAAAUAGAUCAAUGUAAUCAGUUAUUGCGCUGGAUGAAUCUGAUAUCAUACAACAUAAUAAAGUAGCCCAAGGAAACAACUGAUUAUUCUUGCCAGGUGCCACCAAUAUUUUCCUACCAGAGGUAAUCAUUUUGAUUACUUCCAUGGAAAACUUUCUCAAACAAAACUUCUUAAUGAUACAAUCCAAAGAGAUAAUGGGUUAUCUAAUCCCAUUUUUUAUUAUUUCUGGCUUUUUUAGUACAAAUUAAACCACCAAGAAAAAAAAAAAACUUUGCAACACUUCCAAUUGUAAUAAUCUAUAUAGCAAAACAGCAUCAAGGCACACAGAGCAAGUGGGAUAAUAAAUUAUUUGGAAUUCAUUAUUUUAUAGAAUUAACUAUAUAAACAAUCUUGACUAUAUUAUAAAGUAUGCAAAGACAGAAACUUGAUCCAGCGUAGCAGAUCAAAAUCCAAUGAUUAAAGUGAAAAAAAAAAAUCAUAUUUUACCACUGAGAUUACUAUUUUAAUGAUAAAUAGAAAGUCACCCCCAUUAAACAAGGAAGCAUCUUAAUGAAGAAAACUUGAAAUGGGUCAUUAAAAGACAUCAAAUUUCAAUUAAAAAAAAAACCUAGGAUGCAACAGCCGAAAUAUGUAGGAAUAGUGGUUGAAGGACAAUUCAAUAAAAUAUGGGUCCCAAAUCCAAAUAAAUAGGAGACAGAGAGAGUUUUGAAAGUGGGGACUGACCUUGACGAGACACUGCAGACAUUGUAUUGCAAAAAUUCAUCUCCGUGAAUUGAAUUGAAGAUUACCCUUUUGACGAAGGCCCCAAAGGAGUUAUUUACACAACUAACAUGUGUUAUGAUUUUUUUAAAAAUUAAAACAAACACACACAAUUUUAGUUUGUGGAAACUGGAAAUUUUAAGUUUGAAUGUAUUGUUU